GACGAACGCUGGCGGCGUGCCUAAUACAUGCAAGUCGAGCGAAGUUUUUCUGGUGCUUGCACUAGAAAAACUUAGCGGCGAACGGGUGAGUAACACGUAAAGAACCUGCCUCAUAGACUGGGACAACUAUUAGAAACGAUAGCUAAUACCGGAUAACAGCAUUAACUGCAUGGUUGAUGUUUAAAAGUUGGUUUUGCUAACACUAUGAGAUGGCUUUGCGGUGCAUUAGCUAGUUGGUGGGGUAAAGGCCUACCAAGGCGACGAUGCAUAGCCGACCUGAGAGAGUGAUCGGCCACACUGGGACUGAGACACGGCCCAGACUCCUACGGGAGGCAGCAGUAGGGAAUCUUCCGCAAUGGGCGAAAGCCUGACGGAGCAACGCCGCGUGAGUGAAGAAGGAUUUCGGUUCGUAAAGCUCUGUUGUUAGGGAAGAAUGAUUGUGUAGUAACUAUACACAGUAGAGACGGUACCUAACCAGAAAGCCACGGCUAACUACGUG
RNAcentral lists this ribosomal RNA (499 nucleotides) under uncultured bacterium. RNAcentral describes it as "partial 16S ribosomal RNA". It matches the Rfam family "Bacterial small subunit ribosomal RNA", at positions 28 to 507 of the family's 1533-position model. The record is from RNAcentral.